Carassius auratus (goldfish) is the source of this 1313-nucleotide long non-coding RNA. RefSeq lists it as uncharacterized. Lineage: Eukaryota; Metazoa; Chordata; Actinopteri; Cypriniformes; Cyprinidae. The record is from RefSeq and is a predicted model, not a curated record. The transcript is spliced from 3 exons.
UACUCCAGUAAAGUACAGAUACUUGAAAAAAAGGACUUAAGUACAGUAACGAAGUACAGAUACUCCGUUAUUGUCCACCACUGGUGAUACAUGGCAAUACACUUCUUCACUGAUAUAUUUAAUGCCCUCAUCAUUUUUUCUUACAACGUCUAAACCCAAUUAAACCCAUAUCAUUGGCAUUACUGGUGUCAUGAUCUACUUCUCUUUGUUUCCACAGUUGCUGGUUCAUCUUUGUUUUUGCACAGACAUACAUACAUAAAGUCUCUCUGCAGGUCACAGUAGAGGGUUUCAUCUGUGGUUCUGUUGUCCUGCCGUGUUCUUCAGCUCAACAUGAUCUGAAACUUCAAGACACUAAUGUCCACUGGAGAGACAAAAAUGACAAAAUUGUGUACAGUAUAAUUAAGGGCAAACAUUCAGUAGUAGGACAAGAGACACAGUACAAGAACAGAGCUGAAACUUUUCCGAAUGAGAAUCUGAGAAGAAACUUCUCCAUCAAACUUACUUCUCUCUCUCACGCUGAUGCAGGAAAAUACAUCUGUUUCAUCACAAACCCAUCUGAUUCUCAACAGAGGACUGUAGAGCUGAUCAUCAGCGAGUCAACAGCAGAAAAAGGAAAUGGAUCAAGAGACAAAGAAAACCAAAGAGAAGAUUCAGGAGCAGACAGUUUGGGGAAAUCAGUGCUCCGGGUUUGCAUUGUAGUUAUUGUAUUAGGGUUAAUAGCCUGUUAAAUAAUAUUUCACUUGAGAGUGUUUGUGGUCUGUCACACUUUGAAAAUCUUAUAAAAUGUAAAACAGUUUUAAUAUAUUAUAAUAAUUACUAAUUUGUGGUUAAAGCUUUUAAGAGUAUGAUUUAUAACACAAUGAACAUGUUGCUUCCACUUUGACAAUGGAUAAUAAUUAUCAUAGUUAUAAUGCAGUAUAAUGCCCUAUUAGGACAGUACUAGUUUUCUAAACUAUUUUAGAAACCAGUUUUAUACAUCUGGGCGUUUCAGAGAUCACACGCUCUGUAUGCGUGCAUUGCGCAGGCUAUAGUCAUUCGGAUUGAUAACCAUUAGCAUAAUCAGUUUUACUACAAAUACCAUGAUGAAGCUAGUAGUAAAACCAUGUUAAUGUGUGGUAAAAUUUUUUUUAUUUACAUUACAUUAUUUUCAGUUGGAGUAUUAAGCUCACAUGAAUUAAUUAACAUCAGCUCCACGGGAAACACUCAAACAUCUAACCACUCACAAGCUGUAGAAAGAUACUGUAAUGAUGAGACAGAGAGAUUCGGAUCCAUGUGCAGAACUUUUAAUGAGAAUGGUCAGACAGGCAAUGAUC